RNAcentral lists this ribosomal RNA (379 nucleotides) under uncultured Pinnularia. Its description in RNAcentral is "SSU rRNA". It matches the Rfam family "Eukaryotic small subunit ribosomal RNA", at positions 585 to 972 of the family's 1831-position model. The record is from RNAcentral. Lineage: Eukaryota; Bacillariophyta; Bacillariophyceae; Sellaphorales; Pinnulariaceae.
CCAGCUCCAAUAGCGUAUAUUAAAGUUGUUGCAGUUAAAAAGCUCGUAGUUGAAUUUGUGGUGCUGCCUGCAGUCCAAUUAGCUUUGGUGCUAGCGGGUGGUGCCAUCUUUGGGUGGAACCUGUGGGGCAUUAGCUUGUUUUGCAGGGGAAAUUCAUCGUUUACUGUGAAAAAAUUAGAGUGUUCAAAGCAGGCUUACGCCAUUGAAUAUACUAGCAUGGAAUAAUGAAAUAGGACUUUGGUACUAUUUUGUUGGUUUGCGCGCCAAAGUAAUGAUUAAUAGGGACAGUUGGGGGUAUUCGUAUUCCAUAGUCAGAGGUGAAAUUCUUGGAUUUUUGGAAGACGAACUACUGCGAAAGCAUUUACCAAGGAUGUUUUCA